CGUAACACGUAUGUAACCUACCUUUACCAGGGGGAUAGCCUCUCGAAAGAGAGAUUAAGCCCGCAUAACAUCACGAUAUAGCAUUAUACUGUGAUCAAAUAUUUAUAGGGUAAAGAUGGGCAUGCGGAACAUUAGCUAGUUGGUAAGGUAAUGGCUUACCAAGGCUACGAUGUUUAGGGGAUCUGAGAGGAUGACCCCCCACACUGGUACUGAGACACGGACCAG
Molecule: ribosomal RNA, 225 nt
Filed under: uncultured bacterium
Lineage: Bacteria
Description: partial 16S ribosomal RNA
Rfam family: Bacterial small subunit ribosomal RNA
Source: RNAcentral